UACGUAGGGUGCAAGCGUUAUCCGGAAUUAUUGGGCGUAAAGAGCUCGUAGGCGGUUUGUCGCGUCUGCUGUGAAAACUGGAGGCUCAACCUCCAGCCUGCAGUGGGUACGGGCAGACUAGAGUGCGGUAGGGGAGAUUGGAAUUCCUGGUGUAGCGGUGGAAUGCGCAGAUAUCAGGAGGAACACCGGUGGCGAAGGCGGUUCUCUGGGCCUUACCUGACGCUGAGGAGCGAAAGUGUGGGGAGCGAACAGG
Molecule: ribosomal RNA, 253 nt
Filed under: uncultured bacterium
Lineage: Bacteria
Description: partial 16S ribosomal RNA
Rfam family: Bacterial small subunit ribosomal RNA
Source: RNAcentral